UUGCAGAUUGAUAUUUAGUAGUUUUCACGGCUAUUUUGGGGAGAAAUCAAACUUUGUCUCCAUUUUUUUGUUUAUUUCCGGCUAAACCAUAAAAUUCUUCAGAGUGCUGCGCCCACAAUUCUCCGCGUAUGAAGGAAAGGAUGGCGCCGAUGCAUAGAUGCAGGUGUGCACUUUCUAGGAAUAUAUGGUUUGUGGAGGGUAUUUUACAGGUAAAGGGCUGUUUAGGCUGGGAAACUGCAAGGUGUGCACCUAGAGCGCAGCCCCAAAUUUUCCAGCUGAAAUUGCCUUUGUGUAUUGGCCCUGUUUUGGGGUGUUUGGAGGCCGCGUCUCUAGGUGCACCCCUGCAUGUGGGGUAUCGUUUUGUUCAGGACUAGUUGCAGAGUGAUAUUUAGUAGGUUUUUUGUAGUUUUCAUGACUAUUUUGGGGAGAAAUCUUACUUUGUCUCCAUUUUUUUUGUUUAUUUCAGGCUAAACUGUAAACUUCGGAGUGCUGCGCCCGCAAUUCUCGGCAUAUGAAGGAAUGGUUGGCGCCGAUAAAUAGCUGCAGGCUAAACCGUAAACUUCUUCGGAGUGCUGCGUCCGCAAUUCUCCGCAUAUGAAGGAAAGGAUGGUGUCGAUGAAUAGCUGCAGGCUAAACCGUAAAAUUCUUCGGAGUGCUGCGUCCGCAAUCCUCUGCAUAUGAAGGAAAGGAUGGUGCCAAUGAAUAGCUGCAGGCUAAACCGUAAACUUCUUCAGAGUGCUGCGUCCGCAAUCUUCCGCGUAUGAAGGAAAGGAUGGCGCCGAUGAAUAGCUGCAGGUGUGUACUUUCUAGGAAUAUAUGGUUUGUGGGGGGUAUUUUACAGGUAAAGGGGUGUUUAGGCUGGGAAACUGCAAGGUGUGCACCUAGAGCGCAGCCCCAAAUUUUCCAGCUGAAAUUGCCUUUUUGUUUUGGCCCUGUUUUGGGGUGUUUGGAGGCCGCGUCUCUAGGUGCACCCCUGCAUGUGAGGUAUCGUUUAGUUCGGGACAAUUUUUUAUUUCUGAUCUGGCUUCAUUGAAAAUUUUUAUUGGAGAUUUUUUUUCUCAAAUUGACUUUUUACUUUGUGACUGUGAUAGUGUUUCAGAAAAAAAUAAAAAACUUGAAAAAUAUUGUUUGAGUUUUAUGGUGGUUUGUGUGAUGGCGACUACAUUUACAGCAAAAACUACACGACAACUAAAAACCUAAAAGUAUGCAGUUUCUAAAAAUACCUAAUUUAUGGGGGGUUUUCACUUCUUUCGUUAGAUAUACCAUGUUAACCGGGAGAUACACUUAUCUAUUUUGUUUUGAGGUGAAAUUGUACAAAAUGCUGUUUCAUUAUUGGGGUGUCCUGUGGACAAGAAAAGUGGGAUACCAAUAUGUAUUUGGUAUUUACAAACAGUAAUUUUUAUCGGCAUAUGUAAGAUAUCUUGGGAAAAAAGACACAAAAUAUAAACCCUUUUUUCUUUAUUUCACUUUUUUUUUUUACAUAUUUCACUCAAAAUUUUUGUUACAUCUCCAGAAUAAGUAAAAAAAUUUUUUACAGCGUUCAAGCCCAAAUCGUUCUGAAAAAAACAAUAUAUAAUUUGCCAUAUUUCGUGUAGGUUUUCUUGUCAAAAAACCUAACUAAAUGCAAUGAGUUCAAAAUGUCUGAAAACUGCUUGGCAGUAGAUGUUCACUUUUGGAACAAAUCGGCUGGCAGUGAAAGGGUUAAUGGACUUACUAUAUAGUCUUUCAUUUUCUUAUAUAUGUGCUAAAAAAGACAAGCAAUAUUACCAUGCCAACAUUUCCCAUUUUUAGAUUUCUAUUUCAUUUGUUUGUACCCUUUAUUUGUGCUGGGCGCUUUUCUGUUAAUACACAUAUGAAGUUUCCAUAUUAUUUAACACAGAUGUGAUGUUGUUUGCUUUGUGCUGGGAUACUUUAACUCAGUCACUCUGCAGUAGGUAUUAGAUUCGCUUUAGGACCUUGUGGUUUGAAUAUCUAUUAUAAAGAUAUAAUGCCAGUUGUAAAGGAUAUUGAAGAUGCUUCUUGUUAUAAAAGGAAGGCUAUAACCAUUUAAAUAUAAGUUCCUCAAGUAUAGAGCAGGUUCAAUCAUAGACUGUCUAUCCAUCCUGUAUUUUUUUUUUUGCUUAUUCUUGUAGUUUUACUACCAAAAAUACAACCUUUCCUAUAUUUGUAUCUUUCUGCCCUGUUAAUAAC
This is a long non-coding RNA of Xenopus laevis (African clawed frog), 2190 nucleotides long. RefSeq lists it as uncharacterized. The record is from RefSeq and is a predicted model, not a curated record. The transcript has 4 exons. NCBI's taxonomy places the organism in Eukaryota, Metazoa, Chordata, Amphibia, Anura, Pipidae.